Molecule: long non-coding RNA, 654 nt
Organism: Brassica oleracea var. oleracea
Lineage: Eukaryota; Viridiplantae; Streptophyta; Magnoliopsida; Brassicales; Brassicaceae
Exons: 3
Source: RefSeq, a predicted model, not a curated record
UCCACCUACGGCGAAACGCUCUCCUCGUCGUCUCCUUCACCUCCAUCUCUGUUGGUCCCUUUUCCCUCACAACCGGCUUCGUCUCUGUCACCAGCGUGACUUGACUGUCUCCACCAUCCUCCACGAUAACUCACCUUCAUCUCUUCCUACUCGACAAACCCGAAAUCGUUUUCACCUCAAUCACAUCCGGCUUCAACUACAAGUUACUCUAAUCUAUUGUUUGAAAUUGUUUCCUCUUAGGGUCUGAUGAGAUACGUACGUGAUAUUGGCAAGAUAAUAGUAACAGUUCCAGGACAACUUUUCUGGGAAGAAAAACAACAAUUUCUUGAUGAAACAGUUCGGAAGAGGCAAUGCUAAUGUUUAAUUUAGCAAAGAGAGCAACAACCUCUGCAAACUCAACUGUUACAAGUACUCUGGUUUAGCGUACCAGAAGACGGUGACGAUCCAGGUAGCUGACAAGGAGAAAGAUGUGGAACUUGGAACCACCAAGACAAAGAAACAAAACAAGCUUACGCUCUAUGUUAACAAGUUUAUAGGUUAUAAAGCUUUUUCAUGGACAGUUUAGUUUCUUGCUUGCAACACCUCCAUUGUUAUGUUCUUUUUCUCAAAAUUAUAUUAAAAAGAAAGUAGUCAGCUGGUUGCUGUCCACAUUCA